RNAcentral lists this ribosomal RNA (598 nucleotides) under Holtermanniella wattica. RNAcentral's name for it is "eukaryotic LSU rRNA". It matches the Rfam family "Eukaryotic large subunit ribosomal RNA", at positions 82 to 667 of the family's 3401-position model. Lineage: Eukaryota; Fungi; Basidiomycota; Tremellomycetes; Holtermanniales. The record is from RNAcentral.
AGUAACGGCGAGUGAAGCGGGAUGAGCUCAAAUUUGUAAUCUGGUGGACUCAGUUCAUCCGAGUUGUAAUCUAUAGAAGUGUUUUCCGCGCUGGACCGUGUCUAAGUCCCUUGGAACAGGGUGUCAGAGAGGGUGAGAAUCCCGUGCUUGAUACGAUCACCAGUGCUAUGUGAUACACUUUCAACGAGUCGAGUUGUUUGGGAAUGCAGCUCAAAAUGGGUGGUAAAUUCCAUCUAAAGCUAAAUAUUGGCGAGAGACCGAUAGCGAACAAGUACCGUGAGGGAAAGAUGAAAAGCACUUUGGAAAGAGAGUUAAACAGUACGUGAAAUUGUUAAAAGGGAAACGAUUGAAGUCAGUCGUGCUCUCUGGGACUCAGCCGGUUCUUCCGGUGUACUUCCCAGUGAGCGGGUCAACAUCAGUUUAGAUCGCUGGAUAAAGGUAUUAGGAAGGUGGCUCCCUCGGGAGUGUUAUAGCCUAGUAUCGCAUACAGUGGUUUAGACUGAGGAACGCAGCUCGCCUUUAUGGCCGGGGUUCGCCCACGUCCGAGCUUAGGAUGUUGACAUAAUGGCUUUAAACGACCCGUCUUGAAACACGGACC